AGAGAAAGAGACUGGGGUAGAAAAUGCACAACUGUAUUUGAAACCCUCAGCCAAUCUAAAUAGGUUGUUAGCACUUUUGCAUGUGUUAGCUGCUGCUCUGGCUUUACUAUUCAUUUUCAAAAAUCAGAGCUAAACUGAAACCCAGAAAAGUUUUUAAGGUUUCUGAGAAAGAUUUAAGUGUGCUUACCAAGAAUGUCAUAUAACUUUUGAGCAAUGUGUGAAAGAUUUUAAAGAAGGGAUUUUAGUUCUAAAAUUACUCCAAGGAUAAUAAGCUUUUCUUUAUCCAUAAAACACAAGCAUUGGUCUCAAACAUUAAAAAAAAACCAAAACACAGGUAUCCAAUAACAAGUAAAAUAUCAAAGUACUUAAAAGAGAAAGUAAUCUUAUAAUCUGCAUAUUGUUA
This 403-nucleotide long non-coding RNA is filed under the name Bos taurus (domestic cattle). RNAcentral's name for it is "long non-coding RNA NONBTAT007246". Lineage: Eukaryota; Metazoa; Chordata; Mammalia; Artiodactyla; Bovidae. The record is from RNAcentral.